Molecule: non-coding RNA, 161 nt
Organism: Salmo salar (Atlantic salmon)
Lineage: Eukaryota; Metazoa; Chordata; Actinopteri; Salmoniformes; Salmonidae
Source: RefSeq, a predicted model, not a curated record
CGAGCCACUGCCUGUUCACCCCGCUAUCAUCCAGAAGGCAAGCUCCUUCAAGUGUCUGGAACUUUUGGAGGGAUGUGAAACCAUUCUUCCACGAGAAAUUCCAUAAUUUGCUGUUUUGUUGAUGGCGGCGAAUCGCAUCUCUGCAUGUCUGUCAGACAUAU